UACGUAGGUGACAAGCGUUGUCCGGAUUUACUGGGCGUAAAGAGCGCGCAGGCGGUCGUUCAAGUCGAUUGUGAAAGCCCCCGGCUCAACUGGGGAGGGUCAUUCGAUACUGAUCGACUCGAAGGCAGGAGAGGGAAGUGGAAUUCCCGGUGUAGUGGUGAAAUGCGUAGAUAUCGGGAGGAACACCAGUGGCGAAGGCGACUUCCUGGCCUGUUCUUGACGCUGAGGCGCGAAAGCUAGGGGAGCAAACGGG
RNAcentral lists this ribosomal RNA (253 nucleotides) under uncultured bacterium. Its description in RNAcentral is "partial 16S ribosomal RNA". It matches the Rfam family "Bacterial small subunit ribosomal RNA", at positions 524 to 776 of the family's 1533-position model. The record is from RNAcentral.